Molecule: ribosomal RNA, 497 nt
Filed under: uncultured bacterium
Lineage: Bacteria
Description: partial 16S ribosomal RNA
Rfam family: Bacterial small subunit ribosomal RNA
Source: RNAcentral
GAUGAACGCUGGCGGCGUGCCUAAUACAUGCAAGUCGAGCGAACGGACGAGAAGCUUGCUUCUCUGACGUUAGCGGCGGACGGGUGAGUAACACGUGGAUAACCUACCUAUAAGACUGGGAUAACUUCGGGAAACCGGAGCUAAUACCGGAUAAUAUUUUGAACCGCAUGGUUCAAUAGUGAAAGACGGUCUUGCUGUCACUUAUAGAUGGAUCCGCGCUGCAUUAGCUAGUUGGUAAGGUAACGGCUUACCAAGGCAACGAUGCAUAGCCGACCUGAGAGGGUGAUCGGCCACACUGGAACUGAGACACGGUCCAGACUCCUACGGGAGGCAGCAGUAGGGAAUCUUACGCAAUGGGCGAAAGCCUGACGGAGCAACGCCGAGUGAGUGAUGAAGGUCUUCGGAUCGUAAAACUCUGUUAUUAGGGAAGAACAUAUGUGUAAGUAACUGUGCACAUCUUGACGGUACCUAAUCAGAAAGCCACGGCUAACUACGUG